CCGUGCAGCCGGGGAGAUAGCGGUGCCCUGUACCUGCAAUCCGCUAUAGCAGGGGUGAUGCCAAUCCGAGGGCUUUUCAUUGCAGAGCUGCCUUCUAUAAGUGACGUUGACGUCUGGGUCUUACGCAACAGGAAUCUGUGAACCGUGUCAGGGCAGGAAUGCAGCAGCACUAAGCAGAACCUUCUGUGUGCCGUAAGGGCGCCUGGGCCGAGUAGGCUGUAGGAGUAACGUCUGUGGUGAGGGUUCGACGUGCGGCGCACGG
RNAcentral lists this signal recognition particle RNA (262 nucleotides) under Candidatus Fusicatenibacter intestinigallinarum. Its description in RNAcentral is "signal recognition particle sRNA large type". It matches the Rfam family "Bacterial large signal recognition particle RNA". Rfam says of the family: The signal recognition particle (SRP) is a universally conserved ribonucleoprotein involved in the co-translational targeting of proteins to membranes. Archaeal SRP consists of a 7S RNA and homologues of the eukaryotic SRP19 and SRP54 proteins. The record is from RNAcentral. Lineage: Bacteria; Bacillati; Bacillota; Clostridia; Lachnospirales; Lachnospiraceae.